RNAcentral lists this ribosomal RNA (877 nucleotides) under Echinoderma asperum. RNAcentral describes it as "partial large subunit ribosomal RNA". It matches the Rfam family "Eukaryotic large subunit ribosomal RNA", at positions 76 to 941 of the family's 3401-position model. The record is from RNAcentral. Lineage: Eukaryota; Fungi; Basidiomycota; Agaricomycetes; Agaricales; Agaricaceae.
UCCCCUAGUAACUGCGAGUGAAGCGGGAAAAGCUCAAAUUUGAAAUCUGGUGGACCAUGGCCGUCCGAGUUGUAAUCUAGAGAAGUGUUACCCGCGCUGGACCGUGUACAAGUCUCCUGGAAUGGAGCGUCAUAGAGGGUGAGAAUCCCGUCUCUGACACGGACUCCCAGGGCUUUGUGGUAUGCUCUCAAAGAGUCGAGUUGUUUGGGAAUGCAGCUCAAAAUGGGUGGUAAAUUCCAUCUAAAGCUAAAUAUUGGCGAGAGACCGAUAGCGAACAAGUACCGUGAGGGAAAGAUGAAAAGAACUUUGGAAAGAGAGUUAAACAGUACGUGAAAUUGCUGAAAGGGAAACGCUUGAAGUCAGUCGCGUUGGCCAGGGAUCAGCCUCGCAUUUGCGUGGUGCACUUUCUGGUUGACGGGUCAGCAUCAAUUUUGGCCACUGGAAAAAGUCCUGAGGAAUGUGGCAGCUCCGGCUGUGUUAUAGCCUCUGGUCGCAUACAGUGGUUGGGAUUGAGGAACUCAGCACGCCGCAAGGCCGGGUUUCGACCACGUUCGUGCUUAGGAUGCUGGCAUAAUGGCUUUAAGCGACCCGUCUUGAAACACGGACCAAGGAGUCUAACAUGCCUGCGAGUGUUUGGGUGGAAAACCCGAGCGCGUAAUGAAAGUGAAAGUUGAGAUCCCUGUCGUGGGGAGCAUCGACGCCCGGACCAGAACUUUUGGGACGGAUCCGCGGUAGAGCAUGUAUGUUGGGACCCGAAAGAUGGUGAACUAUGCCUGAAUAGGGUGAAGCCAGAGGAAACUCUGGUGGAGGCUCGUAGCGAUUCUGACGUGCAAAUCGAUCGUCAAAUUUGGGUAUAGGGGCGAAAGACUAAUCGACC